UUGGAGGGCAAGUCUGGUGCCAGCAGCCGCGGUAAUUCCAGCUCCAAUAGCGUAUAUUAAAGUUGUUGCAGUUAAAAAGCUCGUAGUUGAAUUUCGGGAUCAAUAUGUUGGUCGUGCCUUGGUACGUACUAAUUUAUUGGUUUCUUCCUUCUGACGAACCAUGAUGUCAUUAAUUUGGUGUCUUGGGGAAUCAGGACUGUUACUUUGAAAAAAUUAGAGUGUUUAAAGCAGGCUCACGCUUGAAUACAUUAGCAUGGAAUAAUGAAAUAGGACGUUUGAUUCUAUUUUGUUGGUUUCUAGGAUUGACGUAAUGAUUAAUAGGGACAGUUGGGGGCAUUAGUAUUCAAUUGUCAGAGGUGAAAUUCUUGGAUUUAUUGAAGACUAACUACUGCGAAAGCAUUUGCCAAGGAUGUUUUCAUUAAUCAAGAACGAAAGUUAGGGGAUCGAAGACGAUCAGAUACCGUCGUAGUCUUAACCAUAAACUAUGCCGACUAGGGAUCGGAUGAUGUUAAUUUUUUAAUGACUCAUUCGGCGCCUUACGGGAAACCAAAGUGUUUGGGUUC
Molecule: ribosomal RNA, 563 nt
Filed under: uncultured Glomeromycotina
Lineage: Eukaryota; Fungi; Glomeromycota
Description: SSU rRNA
Rfam family: Eukaryotic small subunit ribosomal RNA
Source: RNAcentral